UACGUAGGUCCCGAGCGUUGUCCGGAUUUAUUGGGCGUAAAGCGAGCGCAGGCGGCUUCUUAAGUCUGAAGUAAAAGGCAGUGGCUCAACCAUUGUAUGCUUUGGAAACUGGGAGGCUUGAGUGCAGAAGGGGAGAGUGGAAUUCCAUGUGUAGCGGUGAAAUGCGUAGAUAUAUGGAGGAACACCGGUGGCGAAAGCGGCUCUCUGGUCUGUAACUGACGCUGAGGCUCGAAAGCGUGGGUAGCGAACA
RNAcentral lists this ribosomal RNA (250 nucleotides) under uncultured prokaryote. RNAcentral describes it as "partial 16S ribosomal RNA". It matches the Rfam family "Bacterial small subunit ribosomal RNA", at positions 524 to 774 of the family's 1533-position model. The record is from RNAcentral.